Molecule: small RNA, 563 nt
Filed under: Stylophora mamillata
Lineage: Eukaryota; Metazoa; Cnidaria; Anthozoa; Scleractinia; Pocilloporidae
Description: eukaryotic LSU rRNA
Rfam family: Eukaryotic large subunit ribosomal RNA (bases 334-563)
Source: RNAcentral
GCAGAAUUCAGUGAAUCAUCGAAUCUUUGAACGCAAAUGGCGCUCUUGGGUUCUCCCAGGAGCAUGUCUGUCUGAGUGUCUUUUUCGUUGAAUGACAUUCGCACGAUGUGGCCGUGUCAUGCACUGGCGUUUCGUGCGGCGUUGAGGUUCGCGGCCUUGCUAUUCUUAGGCCGCGUGCCUUUAAAUGGAGGAGGAAGAUGGGCUCAAGGUCCGGUGCAGUCGCAUGCGGAUUCAGUUCAUGUGCCGCAUGUGACUGCUGCACCGGGAAUAUUGUCCUCGGCCCUCUACCUCGUGACCUUUAGCACGACGCUCGUUCGUUCGUUGCUUGCCGCCAGACCUCAGAUCAGGCAAGGCUACCCGCUGAAUUUAAGCAUAUUAAUAAGCGGAGGAAAAGAAACUAACAAGGAUUCCCCCAGUAACGGCGAGUGAAGCGGGAAGAGCUCAAAUUUGAAAUCUCCGAUGCCUGCAUCGGCGAGUUGUAGUUGCGAGAAGCACUUUCUAGGCGGAAGGGCCCUGCCUAAGUUGCUUGGAACAGCACGUCGCAGAGGGUGACAACCCCGUCU